GAAUCCUGAUUAUGCUCAAGUGUAAGGCAGAGAGAAGGAGGAAGAGGAGGGCUUGGUUUUGCUGUGUUAGGGGUGGCUGAGGUGGAGGAAAAUCUGUGUACAAGAAGACACCCGCAGUUCAAACCUGUGUUGUUCAAGGAUCAAUUGUGCUUUAUCUUUUAACAGCAAAGUGCUGUUGGAAGAAGAUACAUAAAUUUAAUACUUCUCAAUCCUGGACGGAAUGUUGGGGGUGGAGGAGUUUAAGAAAAUACUGAUGAUCAGAUCCCACCUGAGACCAAGAAUAUUAGAAUCUCUGGGGUAGUACUGGGCAUUGGUAUAUUUUUUUAAGCUUCCCAGCUGUUACCAGUUCAUAUGGAUUGGAUAUUUGUCUCCUCCAAAUCUCAUGUUGAAAUGCAAUCCUCAGUGUUGGAGGUGGGGCCUGGUGGGAGGUGUUUGGAUCAUGGGGGCGGGUCCCUCAUGAAAGGCUUGGUGUCCUCCCCGUGAUAAUGAGUGAAGUCUUGCUUUAUUCAUUCACGUGAAAACUGGCUUAAAAGAGCCUGGCACCUCUCUUGCUCCCUCUCACCAUGUAACACGCCUGCUCCCCUUUGCCUUCCACCAUGAUGCAAGCUUCCUGAGGCCUCACCAGAAGCAGAUGCUGGCACCAUGCUUCAUGUACAGCCUGCAGAACCAUGAGCUAAAUAAACCUCUUUUCUUUAUAAAUUACCCAGCCUUGGUAAAUGCAAUGCAAAAUGGACUAAUACACCAGCGUAAAGCUAGGACAGACAGCCUCUGUCCCUAAAUGACCUCAGUCCUUGCUAAUUUUGUGUAUUUAUAGAAGCCACUUUUCAGAGUCAAUGUCCAAGAAGCUAAAGAAAUUUAACUUUGAUUUUGUCAUUAUUCUUGGAGGUGUGGCUUCCUUCUCUUCUUAUCAACCCAUUCUCAGGAAACUGACAAGCUCAGUCACACUGAGGUGUUAAUGACUGAUAACACUUCAUGUGUUAGUUUUUUAACAGAAUAUUCCUUGCCCUGAACAGGAGGAGCCAUGGGGGCCUUCUACAUCCACUCCUCCUUUUCCACCAUUCUGUGGGUGACCAGCUGCUUCCUGUAAGGCCUGUCCAGAUUCCUGAGAGAAGCGUUAGGGCUUCUGGCCAUAAAAAUAGGGUGUUCCAAGGACAUAAGCAGGGCAGUGAGCAGGGCAGUGUCCCUUUAAUUUGCUGCUGGAAUUGGGCAGCAUCUGAGAUCAGGACCUUUGAAAUAUUUAUCUGCUUGUUAUUUAUCUGGGCAGGGUGCAGGGGAGAGGAAAGGUCCUGGGAACUCUACCCAGAGUCAGGGAGAAUGCAGGGAAAACUUUGCUAAAUUUGUUUUAAUAACUUUUACUGUAAUUUUUUAUUGUAAAAGUAACAAAGCUUACUAGAGAAAUUUUGAAAUAUACAAAAAAGUGUAGAGAAGAAAGAAACCACCUAUAAUCCCACAACCCAGUGAUAGCCAAUGUUAACAGUUUGGCAUAUUUCCAGCUAGAGCUCUUUUUUAAGCACAGACACAUGCGCU
This 1527-nucleotide long non-coding RNA is filed under the name Homo sapiens (human). RNAcentral describes it as "HSALNT0031135". Lineage: Eukaryota; Metazoa; Chordata; Mammalia; Primates; Hominidae. The record is from RNAcentral.